Non-coding RNA from Schistosoma margrebowiei, 45 nucleotides. The record is from Rfam. Lineage: Eukaryota; Metazoa; Platyhelminthes; Trematoda; Strigeidida; Schistosomatidae.
AUCCAGUUGACGAGUUCCGAAUGGGACGAAACGCGCAUCCUGGAU